This 546-nucleotide ribosomal RNA is filed under the name uncultured archaeon. RNAcentral describes it as "bacterial SSU rRNA". It matches the Rfam family "Archaeal small subunit ribosomal RNA", at positions 284 to 832 of the family's 1478-position model. The record is from RNAcentral.
GGAAGCCCGGAGAUGGCCACUGAGACAAGGGCCCAGGCCCUACGGGGCGCAGCAGUCGCGCAACCUUUGCAAUACACGCAAGUGUGACAGGGCUAUCCCGAGUGCCGUCCGCUGAGGAUGGCUUUUACCCAGUCUAGUAAGCUGGGAGAAUAAGGAGAGGGCAAGUCUGGUGUCAGCCGCCGCGGUAAUACCAGCUCCCCGAGUGGUGUGGAUGUUUAUUGGGCCUAAAGCAUCCGUAGCUGGCCAAGUUAGUCCCCUGUUAAACCCACCGAAUUAAUCGUUGGCUUGCGGGGGAUACUGCUCGGCUAGGGGACGGGAGAGGCAGACGGUAUUUUCGGGGUAGGGGUGAAAUCCUAUAAUCCCGGGAAGACCACCAGUGGCGAAGGCUGUCUGCUAGAACGCGCCCGACGGUGAGGGAUGAAAGCUGGGGGAGCGAACCGGAUUAGAUACCCGGGUAGUCCCAGCUGUAAACGAUGCAGGCUAGGUGUUUGGACGGCCACGUGCCGUCCUAGUGCCGCAGGGAAGCUGUUAAGCCUGCCGCCUGGG